RNAcentral lists this ribosomal RNA (433 nucleotides) under uncultured bacterium. RNAcentral describes it as "partial 16S ribosomal RNA". It matches the Rfam family "Bacterial small subunit ribosomal RNA", at positions 29 to 507 of the family's 1533-position model. The record is from RNAcentral.
AACGAACGCUGGCGGCAUGCCUAACACAUGCAAGUCGAACGAGACCUUCGGGUCGAGUGGAGAACGGGUGCGUAAGGCGUGGGAACCUGCCAUUAGGUUCGGAAUAACUCCCCGAAAGGGGUGGUAAUACCGGAUAAUGUCUUCGGGCCAAAGAUUUAUCGCCUUUGGAUGGGCCCGCGUUGGAUUAGCUAGUUGGUAGGGUGAAAGCCUACCAAGGCGACGAUCCAUAGCUGGUCGGAGAGGAUGAUCAGCCACACUGGGACUGAGACACGGCCCAGACUCCUACGGGAGGCAGCAGUUGGGAAUAUUGGACAAUGGGCGAAAGCCUGAUCCAGCAAUGCCGCGUGAGUGAUGAAGGCCUUAGGGUUGUAAAGCUCUUUUACCCGGGAUGAUAAUGACAGUACCGGGAGAAGAAGCUCCGGCUAACUCCGUG